UACGUAGGCAGCAAGCGUUGUUCGGAGUUACUGGGCGUAAAGGGUGUGUAGGCGGCCUGUUAAGUUCCGUGUGAAAUCUCCCGGCUCAACCGGGAGGGUGCGCGGAAAACUGACGGGCUAGAGUGCGGGAUGGGAGAGUAGAAUUCCUGGUGUAGCGGUGAAAUGCGUAGAUAUCAGGAGGAACACCAAUGGCGAAGGCAGCUCGCUGGGACGUGACUGUCGCUCAUGCACGAAAGCGUGGGGAGCAAACAGG
RNAcentral lists this ribosomal RNA (253 nucleotides) under uncultured bacterium. RNAcentral's name for it is "partial 16S ribosomal RNA". It matches the Rfam family "Bacterial small subunit ribosomal RNA", at positions 524 to 776 of the family's 1533-position model. The record is from RNAcentral.